CACAUAAAGUGGGUAUGCCACUUUAAGAGAAGAGGUUAAGGAAGCUGGGUGGUCUGCCUGGCCAAUGAGAAGUUUGGUUUCCAGAGCGUCUGGACCAAUCAGGGUGCAGGCUGCCGUUGUGGAUCCCGCCCUUCUCCCCCGGGUCUGCAGUACCGUUGGUUUUGCUCUAGAGAUCCGACGCGGUGAGACUGCUGAGCGGGGCAGCGCCAGAAGCCAUUAGGAAUCGUUGGCUCUUUCUGGCAGUUAUUUCAGCUUGUUCUUCGUAGAUAAAAGGUAAAAUUUAGGCUUUAACAUAAUUUUAUUUUAUUAAGUUUAUAUUAUUUAGAUCAAAUAUGCCUUGUUACAUCGUUUAGUGCCCCACGCAUCCGGAUUGAGACCCACUAUACGGUUGUCUGAAGUGUGUCGCACUGAGAUCGGUGAGCAUAUUCGGAGCCUUUUAUUUGUGUUUUUGUCGUUUGUUACAUUGUUGUUAAAAAAAUAUCCGUUGUUUUAGUAACUAGGUAAUGUUUUGUUACUGUGUUGGAAAGAAGGAUUAAAGCUAGAACGGCUUGGUAAAGUCCUGUAUUUCUGCUGGUCCUGUCUGUUGACAGGUCAGGUUUUUUUUUAUACUGGAUCAUUCCUGAAGUGGAUCCCUCCUUUGAUAUUGAUGGCGAGCCUUCCCACCUGGACCUAAAGAGAGAACCAGAUUUCGUCUACCCCAUUUGGAGUCAUGCUGCACCCUGCGGUGUGGUAGGAGAGCAACAUACAUCUUCACACACGGUUAUGUGUGAAACCUACAACUGACAUUCUCCAUUAUUAUUGUUUUUUUUAUUUAUUGAUUUUUGGACAAUACUGUUUGGAUUGUUUUAUUUCGGACAUUGUGACGCACAGCUGUGGUGGAAAUUCUCCUGUGAAUGAAGUUGAAUCAAACCAAAUUGGGAUUAAUUUGAUUAAUCUGCUGACUAAUACAAUUUGGAGUGCAGAUUACCAGGGUGCACCCGAAUUAUUUGAAAUUAAGAAUUAGCACUUGGCCAAGUAUUAUUGUUAUUUCUUUUUUUUUCAUUUUAUUGUGUGUAAUUUUAUUUUCAUAAUUGUGUGUUUUGUGCAACUGUUAAUUGUGUGUUUUCUGUCACUAAAACCAGUUCUUUAAAUACA
This is a long non-coding RNA of Xiphophorus maculatus (southern platyfish), 1134 nucleotides long. RefSeq lists it as uncharacterized. Lineage: Eukaryota; Metazoa; Chordata; Actinopteri; Cyprinodontiformes; Poeciliidae. The transcript is spliced from 2 exons. The record is from RefSeq and is a predicted model, not a curated record.